Leopardus geoffroyi (Geoffroy's cat) is the source of this 309-nucleotide long non-coding RNA. RefSeq lists it as uncharacterized. The record is from RefSeq and is a predicted model, not a curated record. The transcript is spliced from 3 exons. Lineage: Eukaryota; Metazoa; Chordata; Mammalia; Carnivora; Felidae.
CGGCUUCCCGCUCGGCUGUGGGGGUAACUGAGGCGUGAAGCGAAGCUGCGGAGAAGGGCCACGCCCCGGCCCCGUCUCGUCCUGUCUUGAAUCUGAAAACAGCCUUGAACAAGGCAGACAAUGUGGAUGGUAUUUACCCCAGAGCAGGGCUCCAGCCUGGACUUCUGUGUCUUCUUCUGGAAGGGACGAACUGGCUGCUUUUCCACGGACACCAUUUGUACUUGAAGGAAAGACUAACGGACUCUGGUGAGUGUCCUAGUUGUUAUGGCUCCAUAACUCCAAACUCAGUGCCUUAGACCAGCAAGGGUA